GCCUAUCCAUUUACUUUUGCUUAACAAAUUUAUCAUAUCAUGCAUACACACACACCUUUUUUCGAGUGUGAACAUAGCCAAAACAUAAUGGCAUUAUCGAUAAUAAUAUACGUGCACUAUACCAGUCAUGUAUUUAGCAAUUUACAUUGCAUACACAUAUUCACAUUGUUAGAUUGUAUUCACAAUACAAAUGACCCAUGACUUUCAGCGGAGACAUUUACAAUAAAAGGGAUUACUAUCGAAUGCCAGACACAUACCCAGGAGAUGCACUAUGGGGACUCCUCGAUCUAGGGUCCAAUAGUCACCUGAUCUGAAAACAUGAAUUUUUAUAAAACGUAAGUACAAUACUCAGCGAGUGAACAAGAUGAGAACAAGCAUACCAUAAGGAAUGUUUAUCGAAAUCAUGAUGCAUUCAUUUUCUCAAAACCAUGCAAUUGUUUUAGCUCCUUUAAACCCCUC
RNAcentral lists this long non-coding RNA (459 nucleotides) under Theobroma cacao (cacao). Its description in RNAcentral is "long non-coding RNA (TCAC_LNC001336)". Lineage: Eukaryota; Viridiplantae; Streptophyta; Magnoliopsida; Malvales; Malvaceae. The record is from RNAcentral.